GGCAAGGUGUCCGAGUGGUUAUGGAGCUGCGUUUAGGUACAACUAAACACAUCGAUCCGCAGUGGCGUUGCCUCGAGGGUUCGAAUCCCUCCCUUGUCA
This 99-nucleotide transfer RNA is filed under the name Piedraia hortae CBS 480.64. It matches the Rfam family "tRNA". Rfam says of the family: Transfer RNA (tRNA) molecules are approximately 80 nucleotides in length. Their secondary structure includes four short double-helical elements and three loops (D, anti-codon, and T loops). Further hydrogen bonds mediate the characteristic L-shaped molecular structure. tRNAs have two regions of fundamental functional importance: the anti-codon, which is responsible for specific mRNA codon recognition, and the 3' end, to which the tRNAs corresponding amino acid is attached (by aminoacyl-tRNA synthetases). tRNAs cope with the degeneracy of the genetic code in two manners: having more than one tRNA (with a specific anti-codon) for a particular amino acid; and 'wobble' base-pairing, i.e. permitting non-standard base-pairing at the 3rd anti-codon position. The record is from Rfam by way of RNAcentral. Lineage: Eukaryota; Fungi; Ascomycota; Dothideomycetes; Capnodiales; Piedraiaceae.